RNAcentral lists this ribosomal RNA (269 nucleotides) under uncultured bacterium. Its description in RNAcentral is "partial 16S ribosomal RNA". It matches the Rfam family "Bacterial small subunit ribosomal RNA", at positions 28 to 293 of the family's 1533-position model. The record is from RNAcentral.
GACGAACGCUGGCGGCGUGCUUAACACAUGCAAGUCGAGCGGUAAGGCCCUUUCGGGGGUACGACGAGCGGCGAACGGGUGAGUAACACGUGGGUGACCUGCCCUCCAGCUCUGGGAUAAGCCUGGGAAACCGGGGUCUAAUACCGGAUAUGACUCCAUGACGCAUGUUGUGGGGUGGAAAGCCUUGUGCGGCUGAGGAUGGGCCCGGCCGGCCUAUCAGCUUGUUGGUGGGGUGAUGGCCUACCAAGGCGACGACGGGUAGCCGGCCU